This 574-nucleotide ribosomal RNA is filed under the name uncultured bacterium. RNAcentral describes it as "bacterial SSU rRNA". It matches the Rfam family "Bacterial small subunit ribosomal RNA", at positions 348 to 916 of the family's 1533-position model. The record is from RNAcentral.
GCAGCAGUGGGGAAUNAUUGCNCCAAUGGGCGGAAGCCUGAUGCAGCGACCGCCGCGUGAGGGAUGGAGGCCUUUCGGGUUGUGAACCUCUUUCGCCCGUGGUCAAGCCGCAACUGUGGGUUGUGGUGAGGGUAGUGGGUAAAGAAGCGCCGGCUAACUACGUGCCAGCAGCCGCGGUAAUACGUAGGGCGCGAGCGUUGUCCGGAAUUAUUGGGCGUAAAGGGCUUGUAGGCGGCUGGUCGCGUCUGCCGUGAAAUCCUCUGGCUCAACUGGGGGCGUGCGGUGGGUACGGGCUGGCUUGAGUGCGGUAGGGGAGGCUGGAACUCCUGGUGUAGCGGUGGAAUGCGCAGAUAUCAGGAAGAACACCGGUGGCGAAGGCGGGUCUCUGGGCCGUUACUGACGCUGAGGAGCGAAAGCGUGGGGAGCGAACAGGAUUAGAUACCCUGGUAGUCCACGCUGUAAACGUUGGGCACUAGGUGUGGGGGCCACCCGUGGUUUCCGCGCCGUAGCUAACGCUUUAAGUGCCCCGCCUGGGGAGUACGGCCGCAAGGCUAAAACUCAAAGGAAUUGACGG